Molecule: non-coding RNA, 36 nt
Filed under: Trypanosoma brucei brucei
Lineage: Eukaryota; Euglenozoa; Kinetoplastea; Trypanosomatida; Trypanosomatidae
Source: RNAcentral
UAUAUACAAUAAUAAAGAUGGUGGCAGUGUAUCAGU